This is a long non-coding RNA of Oreochromis niloticus (Nile tilapia), 2089 nucleotides long. RefSeq lists it as uncharacterized. Lineage: Eukaryota; Metazoa; Chordata; Actinopteri; Cichliformes; Cichlidae. The transcript has 2 exons. The record is from RefSeq and is a predicted model, not a curated record.
UAGUUGUGCAGGAAAGUACCUCAUUCUUCAGGAUGACUUCUCAUCUCGUAGGAUUUUAAAUCCCUGUUAAACAAUCAUGGGAGAUGGCUUGCUCCUCCAUGAGCUCGGAUCUGGAGGUUUCUUCCUGUUAAAAGGCAGUUCUUCCUUCCCACUGUCACCAAGUGCUUGCUCAUAGAGGGCUUUCUAAUUGUUGGGUUUUUUUCUAACAUUGUGGGGUCUUUACCCUACAAUAUAAAGCACCUUGAUAUGAUUGUUGCUCUGAAUUGGCACUGUAAAUGCAAACUGGGAUUUGAAAUGUCCCAGAGCAAUCUGUAGUUUCAGGGUUACCACAUUCAGUAUUCACUAAUUGCUGCAUUUUGCCAUAAGUGUGCUUAAAAACAUAUUCUGACAAAUGUUUGUUUCUGCAAGCCGGACUCAGUUGAAGCUGUGGUGGAGAGGAGGUGGUGUUCUAUUGGAUUAAGAUCAGGUGAUUGUUGAGUGCAUUUGAGUGGCGUUGUUGUUGUCAUGCUCAAGAACCCAGUCUGAGAUGAUGCGAUGGUGCCACAGUGAUGACAACUUGUUAUUUCCACAAACUGUAAAACCAAAGAUGGAUGGAGCUCCCGGGUCUGAAAAGUGAAGUUAAUUUCUUCCUGGAAGGCCAGCAGGGGGCGACUCUUCUGCUUCACUGGAGAGUUCAGUUGUAUGGACGUCUAUAGGAACUUGACUCUUUGGCUCUGUAAACACUUUCCUGAUCAGUUCAUGGUCUCAGUUGCUGUCAAGUCUGUUUGUACUAGCCUGGCUCCUAUUAGUUGCAGAAAAGGCUGGUAACGCUCUACCUCACCAACCUCCCGGAUCUGUUUUUCUCUUCAGUUUUGUAGGCAGUGCUGAAACACCAGUCUAAGUCCACUUUUUUUUCUUUUACCCAUCAAGGUGUUUGAAAGAAUUUAAUAGUUUGCUCCUCCAUCUUCCCAACGCCCACUGCCCCCUCAAGUCUAAACAGCCCUAAAACCUCGUCUGAUGUUAUUAAAUCAACACGAAGCACUCGGAUGGCCUUGACUCACUGUUGAAUUACAAAAAAUAAAUAGUAAUGCAGUUUAAAAAAAAAAAAAAACGUUUAAGCCCUUAAUUUUGGCCUCUAAAGCACACAUAGCAUGCAAAAUGAAAAGAACUGCCAAAUCAUGCAGAUGGUUUAAUCCCAGCCUCAUAACAUUGGAUUUAUUCCCCAUUGAAUUUAAGCCCUCGCUGCAUUUGAAGAUAAAACAGUCAUUUGUCAAAUGCCGCCAAAGAAAAUUCUCGUCAAAACGGGAGCACAUAAUGGCCGUGUCCUGCUGUCUGUCUGCUUAUUUAUGGCAGACUGAUUAAUUGAUUGUUAUAGGCUAACAAACAAACAACACUGAUUACAUUAACUGACCACAGUUUUGUCUUUUAGCGCAGGCUCUAAUAGAGUGCUGAAGUGAUUAGUAGUUGGGCUGCUCUGCUGCUGAAUUAGUAAUGUUAAUGGGAGUAAUGAGACACGGAAGCGCACGCUGAGUCGGUGCACGAGCAGAGUCGCUCUUUGUGUGUUAAUUGUCGUCUUUCUUGCCGUUCCGCUUUUGCUUUUCUUGCACGGGGAACAAACAGAAAAGCCCGCAUUUGACAGCGAAACCUGCCAUUUUCGGUCCCUCCAAACAAACCUCGAGGGCUCGUUUUGAGGUUUAGCUCCGGCUGCCCUCUCGCACAACACAGCUUCAGCGGCUCAUUUCGUGGAAGACAAUGGGGAAAUUCAGCGGGAGGACGUCAGUGAAAAUUCAACCAUCUGGACAUUCUCGCAUACUGGUGGGAGGGUGAUGAUUUAUUUUCAGCAACCUCUCGAGCUGAAUAAGAGACGCCUACCGCUUGAAAAUCCGCAGAGAGGAAGAGAUAUGAGAGCGGCUUUUGUGAGCAACAAAUCCCUGAAUUAAGAGCCAUCUGAAAGGAAAACACCAUCCAAGCUCUUAAUUACAAGUCAAAGAAGAGGAACACACUGUAUAUAGCUGCCCACGGGCAAAGGUCCCACACAUACCUUUUUUUAAAUCACUUUGAUUGUUUCGGCAGCUUAGAAAGCAGAUUAAAAGUUAAUGGAUGAUUAAGA